This 448-nucleotide ribosomal RNA is filed under the name Onygenales sp. CID682. RNAcentral's name for it is "eukaryotic LSU rRNA". The stretch from base 86 to 239 matches the Rfam family "5.8S ribosomal RNA". The record is from RNAcentral. Lineage: Eukaryota; Fungi; Ascomycota; Eurotiomycetes; Onygenales.
GGGCUGCUGGCUCCGGCCGGCGAGCGCUUGCCAGAGGACCUAAACUCUGUUUGUCUAUACUGUCUGAGUACUAUAUAAUAGUUAAAACUUUCAACAACGGAUCUCUUGGUUCUGGCAUCGAUGAAGAACGCAGCGAAAUGCGAUAAGUAAUGUGAAUUGCAGAAUUCAGUGAAUCAUCGAAUCUUUGAACGCACAUUGCGCCCCCUGGUAUUCCGGGGGGCAUGCCUGUCCGAGCGUCAUUACAACCCUCAAGCUCAGCUUGGUAUUGGGCCCCGCCGACCCGGCGGGCCCUAAAGUCAGUGGCGGUGCCGCCCGGCUCCGAGCGUAGUAAUUCUUCUCGCUCUGGAGGUCCGGUCGUGUGCUCGCCAGCAACCCCCAAUUUUUUUCAGGUUGACCUCGGAUCAGGUAGGGAUACCCGCUGAACUUAAGCAUAUCAAUAAGCGGAGGA